CUCAAUGUUUUUUUAAAUUGCUGUAGUAUUUUGACUAUACAAAGGUAUUGAAAUAAGAUUUUAAUUGAAUGUUAAGAGAAUGAAUUAACAAAAAAAAUCUUUUUUAAAUUUAAAAAUUGAAAUUAUUUUUAUUUGUGAAGAAACAAUAAUAUAAAUUAAGGACAAGAAGACCCUAAGAAUUUUUACUUUUUUUUGAAAAAGUUUAAUUGGGGAGAUUAAUAAAAAUUAAAAACUUUAUUUUAAUAAAAAUGAA
This 253-nucleotide ribosomal RNA is filed under the name Amblyomma gervaisi. Its description in RNAcentral is "partial large subunit ribosomal RNA". The record is from RNAcentral. Lineage: Eukaryota; Metazoa; Arthropoda; Arachnida; Ixodida; Ixodidae.